AAACUGUAUGUCUGAAAUGCCACCAAGCAAGACACUUACUAACUCCAAAGGUCUGCUGUUAUUAGUUAGUUUUGCUUGAAACUAUAUACAUUACUCACUGUUUAUAUAUGUUAUUUAUAUUGUGCAAAUGUUACUGUGCUGUUUUAUAUUUGUGUGUUAAGCUGUGCAUUAUGUGUUUUGUACUUGUUAAACCAGGUCGUCAACGUAAUUGGCCUACGCUGUGUUGACGUUCCUGUGCCGUUCUGUACUAUUGAGUAUUGUAAAUUUUGU
This is a non-coding RNA of Paramuricea clavata, 270 nucleotides long. Lineage: Eukaryota; Metazoa; Cnidaria; Anthozoa; Malacalcyonacea; Plexauridae. The record is from the annotation of a GenBank genome assembly.